This 253-nucleotide ribosomal RNA is filed under the name uncultured bacterium. RNAcentral's name for it is "partial 16S ribosomal RNA". It matches the Rfam family "Bacterial small subunit ribosomal RNA", at positions 524 to 776 of the family's 1533-position model. The record is from RNAcentral.
UACGUAGGGGGCUAGCGUUGUCCGGAAUCAUUGGGCGUAAAGCGCGUGUAGGCGGUCCGGUAAGUCCGCUGUGAAAGUCGGGGGCUCAACCCUCGGAUGCCGGUGGAUACUGUCGAGCUUGAGUACGGAAGAGGCGAGUGGAAUUCCUGGUGUAGCGGUGAAAUGCGCAGAUAUCAGGAGGAACACCAAUUGCGAAGGCAGCUCGCUGGGACGUUACUGACGCUGAGACGCGAAAGCGUGGGGAGCAAACAGG